RNAcentral lists this ribosomal RNA (383 nucleotides) under uncultured bacterium. RNAcentral's name for it is "bacterial SSU rRNA". It matches the Rfam family "Bacterial small subunit ribosomal RNA", at positions 29 to 416 of the family's 1533-position model. The record is from RNAcentral.
AUUGAACGCUGGCGGCAUGCUUUACACAUGCAAGUCGAACGGUAACAGGCCUUCGGGUGCUGACGAGUGGCGAACGGGUGAGUAAUGCAUCGGAACGUGCCCAAUCGUGGGGGAUAACGUAGCGAAAGUUACGCUAAUACCGCAUAAGCCCUGAGGGGGAAAGCAGGGGAUCGCAAGACCUUGCGCGAAUGGAGCGGCCGAUGUCAGAUUAGCUAGUUGGUGGGGUAAAGGCCUACCAAGGCGACGAUCUGUAGCGGGUCUGAGAGGAUGAUCCGCCACACUGGGACUGAGACACGGCCCAGACUCCUACGGAGGCAGCAGUGGGGAAUUUUGGACAAUGGGCGCAAGCCUGAUCCAGCCAUGCCGCGUGCGGGACGAAGGCC